UGGGGAAUAUUGGGCAAUGGGCGCAAGCCUGACCCAGCAACGCCGCGUGAAGGAAGAAGGCCCUCGGGUUGUAAACUUCUUUUAUUUAGGACGAAACAAAUGACGGUACUAGAUGAAUAAGCCACGGCUAACUACGUGCCAGCAGCCGCGGUAAUACGUAGGUGGCAAGCGUUAUCCGGAUUUACUGGGUGUAAAGGGCGUGUAGGCGGGACUGCAAGUCAGGCGUGAAAUCCAGGGGCUCAACCCCUGGCCUGCGUUUGAAACUGUAGUUCUUGAGUGAUGGAGAGGCAGGCGGAAUUCCGUGUGUAGCGGUGAAAUGCGUAGAUAUACGGAGGAACACCAGUGGCGAAGGCGGCCUGCUGGACAUUAACUGACGCUGAGGCGCGAAAGCGUGGGGAGCAAACA
This is a ribosomal RNA of 405 nucleotides. It matches the Rfam family "Bacterial small subunit ribosomal RNA", at positions 355 to 774 of the family's 1533-position model.